UACGAAGGGGGCUAGCGUUGUUCGGAAUUACUGGGAGUAAAGCGCACGUAGGCGGAUUUGUAAGUCAGGGGUGAAAUCCCGGGGCUCAACCUCGGAACUGCCUUUGAUACUGCAAGUCUCGAGUCCGAUAGAGGUGAGUGGAAUUCCUAGUGUAGAGGUGAAAUUCGUAGAUAUUAGGAAGAACACCAGUGGCGAAGGCGGCUCACUGGAUCGGUACUGACGCUGAGGUGCGAAAGCGUGGGGAGCAAACAGG
RNAcentral lists this ribosomal RNA (253 nucleotides) under uncultured bacterium. RNAcentral describes it as "partial 16S ribosomal RNA". It matches the Rfam family "Bacterial small subunit ribosomal RNA", at positions 524 to 776 of the family's 1533-position model. The record is from RNAcentral.